CCAGCCUGGAAGCCUACGCCGUGAGGUGUGCAGCAGCUGGAGUCUGUAUCGACUGGAGGAUCAACUAAAGGAAAAUGUGAACUGACAUGCCCUAAGACCAAAGUGUAUAAGGCAUGUGGCUCUACUAUCCAGCCAACUUGCAAUUCAAGAUACAAUGAAAAAUAUGUGCAUUCAUGUCAGGGAGCACAAAGGAGCCUCGGA
Molecule: non-coding RNA, 201 nt
Organism: Salvelinus sp. IW2-2015
Lineage: Eukaryota; Metazoa; Chordata; Actinopteri; Salmoniformes; Salmonidae
Source: RefSeq, a predicted model, not a curated record